This 253-nucleotide ribosomal RNA is filed under the name uncultured bacterium. RNAcentral's name for it is "partial 16S ribosomal RNA". It matches the Rfam family "Bacterial small subunit ribosomal RNA", at positions 524 to 776 of the family's 1533-position model. The record is from RNAcentral.
UACAGAGGGUGCAAGCGUUAAUCGGAAUUACUGGGCGUAAAGCGUGCGUAGACGGUUACAUAAGUCGGGUGUGAAAGCCCCGGGCUCAACCUGGGAAUUGCAUUCGAGACUGCGUAGCUAGGGUGCGGAAGAGGGAAGCGGAAUUUCCGGUGUAGCGGUGAAAUGCGUAGAUAUCUGGAGGAACACCGGUGGCGAAGGCGGCAUCCUGGACCAACACUGACACUGAGGAGCGAAAGCCAGGGGAGCAAACGGG